This 200-nucleotide ribosomal RNA is filed under the name uncultured bacterium. RNAcentral describes it as "partial 16S ribosomal RNA". It matches the Rfam family "Bacterial small subunit ribosomal RNA", at positions 328 to 539 of the family's 1533-position model. The record is from RNAcentral.
ACGCUCGACACCUACGGGGGCAGCAGUCGGGAAUAUUGCGCAAUGGAGGAAACUCUGACGCAGUGACGCCGCGUGCAGGAAGAAGGUUUUCGGAUUGUAAACUGCUUUAGACAGGGAAGAAAGAAAUGACAGUACCUGUAGAAUAAGCUCCGGCUAACUACGUGCCAGCAGCCACGGUAAUCUGAGCGGGCUGGCAAGGC